Molecule: ribosomal RNA, 497 nt
Filed under: uncultured bacterium
Lineage: Bacteria
Description: partial 16S ribosomal RNA
Rfam family: Bacterial small subunit ribosomal RNA
Source: RNAcentral
GAUGAACGCUGGCGGCGUGCCUAACACAUGCAAGUCGAACGGAAAGACGAUGAGCUUGUUCCUUUGACGUUAGCGGCGGGCGGGUGAGUAACGCGUGGAUCACCUACUUCUAUGUCGGGGAGAAUAACGGAAGACAGGAGACAAUACUAGAGAAUAUAUUGAACCGCAGGGAGCAGUGGAGAAUGACGGCUUUCGUGUCUGUAAUAGCGGGUUCCGCGCUGGAUAGGCUAGUUGGUAAGGUAACGGCCUACCAAGGCUACGAUGCGUAGCCGACCUGAGAGGGUGAUCGGCCACACUGGAACUGAGACACGGUCCAGACUCCUACGGGAGGCAGCAGUGGGGAAUCUUCGGCAAUGGGCGCAAGCCUGACGCAGCAACGCCGCGUGAGUGAUGAAGGCCUUCGGGUCGUAAAGCCCUUUUAUUGGGGAAGAACAGCUGUGGAAGUAUCCAUGGCCGUCUUGACGGUACCUAAUCAAAAAGCACCGGCUAACUACGUG